Molecule: unclassified non-coding RNA, 3984 nt
Filed under: Harpegnathos saltator (Jerdon's jumping ant)
Lineage: Eukaryota; Metazoa; Arthropoda; Insecta; Hymenoptera; Formicidae
Description: serine/threonine-protein kinase MARK2, transcript variant X4
Source: RNAcentral
GCGUGAGGAGAGAGAGGGGUGCAUCGACAAAGCGUUGGAGGGUCUGAGGCAGUGAAACUGGCUGGCCUACAAUGUCCGCUACCAUGCGGAGCACCCUGCAAACUGUUCCCGAGUCUGUGCCGGCCGACCACGUCACAAACACCAAAAAACUACUAAAUCCUCCGAGCAGAAUCAUCGUCGUCGUCGUCGUCGUCGUCCUCGCCGACCGAUCGGGCCGCUGAAUCGAUGUUGAGGACUUAUCGGCGCACAGUUCGUUAUCUAGAAACGAUCGUCGCGCGACGCGACCGAAGAGAAGCUGGAAAGUAACGACUGCCGCCGUCGUUCUCGUCGUCUUCGUGGCCACACUGAGAGAAAGAGAGCGGAGAGAACAGAAGACAGACCGACAGAAAGGGAGAGAGAGAAAGAGAGAGAGAGGGAGAGAGAGAGAGAGAGAGAGAGAGAGAGAGAGAGAGAGUGAGACAGAGAGUGGCUUUCACUAUUCCACGAGGACACCGCGAUCAUGGACGAUCAAGAGAGUCCGUUUGUGCGAUCGCAGGCCAGCAGGAGCAUGAUUCGGCCGCAACCUGGUGGACGAAAGCUCCUGCUGUCGUCGACCACCGCCGAGAGAGCGUGCCAGAUCGCGGUGAAUCUCCACGACACGGCGGUGGAGAGGAAGAGCCCGGGUACUCCGAAGAGAUUGUCGGCGCCGCACACGCCCUUGGAGAGCCUGAAGCAGUGGGAGCUGGUGGAGGACGAUAAGGGUCUGCAGGUGGUCGAGAAACGACCGGGCGCUUCCCUGAGUCCCAUCAGGCCGAAGGAGAUGAUCGCGGGCUCGUUGUACAAUAAUAGUCCCGUUUCCGGGCGGCGAUUCCACGAGAAGAGCGCCGCGGACGCCGGCCUGGAGAAGAAGCUGAGGGCCUUCAACCACUCGAAGAUCGUCCAACCGGUCGGACUUCCGCUCGGUCAGCAGCCGCAGGAAGAACCGCCCGCCACGGCGGACUUGAACGCGCCGCUCAGUCUUGAUUUAAUCCUGAAGCAGCGGACGUCGAGCUCAAUCGUCGAGAGCACCGACAUGCUGCAGCGGCUGGAACAGCAAGUCAUGGCCAUCGAGCUGGGCACGAUCGCCGGUAGGACGCGUCAGUUGGAGAACAGCUCCGAUUUCGGGCCGGAAGUACAGCUGAGAUACAGGGAACACGAAGACCUGCUGCGGAACGUGACGGACGACGAGGCCGACGGGGCCUCGCUGCUGCACCGUGGGGACGCGACGCGGAAUUCCACCGGGAACGCCGGCAUCACGCCGAAGAAGCCCACCGUGAAGUUGUCCAGGACCGCCUCGGACACGCGCCGAGGACAAGAGGCGGAGAUGCCCCUCAAGGGUCAAUCCAGGAUGCAACAGGCUCGCACGUUCGUCCGGCCGAUCGUCGCCAAGAAGGAUCACCAGCGUCACCAUCAGUUGCAGCAGCAACAGCAACAGCAACAGCUGCAGCUGCAGCAACAGCAGAACAACUCGGCGACCAUUCCGUUCAGGCCGUUGUCGGACAUCAUGCAGAAGGGUAUUCCGAGUGAUAAGGAGACGGGGGAUGGCGUAGGGGUGUCGAGUAGCGGGAGUCGGCUCUCGUCGAGGAGCCGGACCUCCGAGGAGCCUCACAUCGGCAAGUACAAAUUACUGAAGACCAUCGGCAAAGGGAACUUUGCCAAGGUGAAGCUUGCUAAACAUGUGCCCACGGGAAAGGAGGUAGCCAUCAAGAUCAUCGAUAAGACUCAACUGAAUCCUGGUAGCCUUCAAAAGCUGUUCCGUGAAGUCAGGAUAAUGAAGAUGCUCGACCAUCCGAACAUAGUCAAAUUGUUCCAAGUAAUCGAGACUGAAAAGACACUGUACCUGGUAAUGGAGUACGCCAGCGGUGGGGAGGUCUUCGACUACCUGGUCUUGCAUGGACGAAUGAAGGAGAAGGAGGCGAGGGCGAAGUUCAGGCAGAUCGUUUCUGCUGUGCAAUACUGCCAUCAAAAGAAGAUCAUCCACAGGGACUUAAAAGCGGAGAACUUGUUGCUCGACAGCGAAAUGAAUAUCAAGAUUGCAGAUUUUGGUUUUAGCAAUGAAUUCACGCCUGGCAACAAGUUAGACACCUUCUGCGGCUCGCCACCUUACGCGGCGCCGGAACUCUUUCAAGGAAAGAAGUAUGACGGUCCUGAAGUGGAUGUAUGGUCGUUGGGUGUAAUCCUCUACACCUUGGUAUCCGGCUCACUGCCUUUCGAUGGUUCGACGUUGAGGGAAUUGAGGGAAAGAGUAUUAAGAGGAAAAUAUAGGAUCCCGUUUUAUAUGUCCACCGACUGUGAAAAUCUUCUCAAGAAAUUCUUGGUGCUCAACCCGACAAAGAGAGCCUCACUAGAGAACAUAAUGAAAGACAAAUGGAUGAAUAUGGGAUAUGAGGAUGACGAAUUAAAGCCGUACUUAGAACCUGAACCUGAUUAUAGAGAUCACAAGAGGAUAGGUGAGUCUGCCAAGGCCCUAGCCAGUCUAGGAUACACUCGGAGCGAAAUAGAAGACUCCCUAGGACAAGCCAAGUAUGACGAUGUAUUCGCCACGUAUUUACUCCUAGGCAGGAAAACGACAGACCCCGAAAGCGAUGGGUCACGGUCGGGUAGCUCGCUGUCGCUGCGUAACAUUCCGCCUCAAGUCGGCUCGGGUGGUGGAGGAGGUAGCAGUGGAGGGACAGGCGGUGCGGUACAAAGUCCAUCGCAUAGAGGUGUUCACAGAAGUAUUUCUGCUAGCAAUCCAAAACCCAGUAGACGGGCAUCGUCUGGUGGUGAGACUCUUCGGGGCGCACCCAGUCCGGGUAAUGCAACAAAUCACAAUCACGCGACCGCGGUAACUGGCGGCGCUGUAACUGGAAGCGGCGGUAGCAAUUUUAAACGGCAAAACACCGUGGAUGCGGCCACAAUUAAGGAGAAUAGCGCUCGUGUCUCAGCCAGCCGACCUUCCGCACCGAAAAACAGUCCCGGGCAAUUAGAUACUAUGACGAUGUUCAUUCUAGGCGUGGGUACAAGUCCUGGUGGUAAAGCAAGGGUAGGCAAGAGCAACACUAUGAACGCAGGGGUAGGUGGUGGUCGGCCUCUCACCUCACCUGCUCCUGGUUCUGUUGGUCGACGUAGUACCAUCUCCUAUGAUCAAGCGAAAACGUCAUCUUCAUCCACUGAAAGAACCAACGAAGUACCCAGCCUGGGCGAGGGCACUAGACCAACACGGGGUCACACGAAGUCUGCGAGCAUCAGCGCAGGUCACCGUUCCUCAAGUGGCGUACCCCCCAGCGACCAUUCACUACUGGACCCACAACCACGCAACAACUCCUUACUCGCCACUGCUGACCCCCUUAGGCAGAGCUUGGGUGUAUCCGCAAGCAAUAGACUGCCUACAGCCACUACACCAGCAUUUCCACGGAAUGUUCCGAGUCGCAGUACGUUCCAUUCUGGCCAAAACCGAGCACAGCGAAAUCACACUCAGGGUCAUACGCAAACGCAGGACACGAAUGCAAUUAGCCCUCUAGCGAGGCCGUCCUUCUUCUCGAAAUUAUCUUCGAAGUUCUCCAAACGCCCCAUGGACCCAUCCGUACCCCCCAAGCACCCAGUAGUGAGCGGAGCUACCACUAACGACGAACAGGUUAAACCACGCAGUCUACGCUUCACAUGGAGUAUGAAGACUACCAGUAGUCGAGACCCUAACGAAAUUAUGUCAGAGAUCCGAAAGGUAUCGAGAAAAGCGUACUUAUAUUAGCAGAUAUACGUAACACGAAAAAAGGUGAUACGUUUGCAAAAUUGUAAGGAUUAGAGGCACAAGAUUGACUCUCGUGUCCUGGAUGCCAAUAAAUGCCAGUAUGAACAACGCGAGCGAUUCCUCUUGCUAUGUGCGCACGGCGAAGCGGCGACAGACAGCCAAGUACAAUGGGAGAUCGAGGUAUGCAAGCUGCCGCGGCUUUCCUUGAACGGAGUGCGGUUCAAGCGUAUUUCCGG